RNAcentral lists this ribosomal RNA (777 nucleotides) under uncultured Neocallimastigales. RNAcentral's name for it is "partial large subunit ribosomal RNA". It matches the Rfam family "Eukaryotic large subunit ribosomal RNA", at positions 24 to 643 of the family's 3401-position model. The record is from RNAcentral. Lineage: Eukaryota; Fungi; Neocallimastigomycota; Neocallimastigomycetes; Neocallimastigales.
UACGACUACAUAUCAGGCAUAUCAAUAAGCGGAGGAAAAGAAACUAACAAGGAUUCCCCUAGUAACGGCGAGUGAUGCGGGAAGAGCUCAAAUUUGAAAUCUUAAAGGGUUUCCCUUGACGAAUUGUAGUUUAAAGAAGUGUUUUCGGUUAGAGGAGUUCGUAAAAGUUCUUUGGAAUAGGACAUCAUAGAGGGUGAGAAUCCCGUAUUUGACCUAUUACUUUCUAGCUGUGUGAUACACUUUCAAAGAGUCGGAUUGUUUGGGAAUGCAGUCCAAAAUGGGUGGUAAAUUUCAUCUAAAGCUAAAUAUUGGCGAGAGACCGAUAGCGAACAAGUACCGUGAGGGAAAGAUGAAAAGAACUUUGAAAAGAGAGUUAAACAGUACGUGAAAUUGUCAAAAGGGAAGCGUUUGACACCAGUGUUGUUUAGUUGAAAAUCAAUUCAAUAGUUUUUGAUUCUAAGUAGUAUUGACUUCAUCAGCUUGCUGCUUUCUUCUCAGAAAUUAUUGAAUGCACUUUUCAGUUAACAAGUCAACAUCAAUUUCCUUUGUUGUAAAAGGGUAAGAGGAAGGUGGCUUGCGCUUCGGCUCAAGUGUUUAUAGCCUUUUAUCUCUGCAAUCGGAGAGAUUGAGGUCUGCAGCGUAGAUCCUUCGGGGUUAGAUACAUUGGUGCUAAGCUAUAGCCUUGUAUAGACAACUUGUUGACUAUGCUCAGUCAUGUAGCUUACUCGCUGAUGCUAUUUUACCUACGCUUAGGAUGUUGACACACGCGCGUGCUCG